Molecule: long non-coding RNA, 1656 nt
Organism: Gallus gallus (chicken)
Lineage: Eukaryota; Metazoa; Chordata; Aves; Galliformes; Phasianidae
Source: Ensembl
UUGCCUUUCCCGGACCGUUCUCCCCACUCCCAGCCUCGCUCCCCUCCGCUACCCCUGGGGCCCCCGUCCUCGAGGACCAGGACAAACCAACCCUUCUCCCCAAAAACAGCUGCCAGAGGGAGGGAAGCCCCGUGGCGCUCCCGUUUCUCGCUGCCCCCCGGGACAGCCGUCACCCUCCCCCGGCUCCAACAGCGCGGAAAAUGAGCGGCCCGACGGCACCGACGGCUGCGAGGAGGCGGCCUUUUGGGGAGCACGGGCGUGAGGACACCCGCCUCAGGGUCACUCCCAAUGCAAAAAGCGAAACAAAGCAUCGGAAAAGGAAAGGAGGGGAAAAAGUGGGAAAAAUAAAUAAAUAAGAAUGAAAAGAAGAGGUACGGAUCGCAGCUCCUCCCCCCUGGGGACCCGGCCGACGGCCAACGCAGGGGCGCGGGGGUUGCCGGGCCCGUCCCGUCGCAGGUGGGGAGCGCCCCCCCCCCGCAACGUACGGGCAGCGAGGGCACGAAGAGGAGCGCGGACGAAGUUUUAUUUUUAGGAAAACGUUUGCAAAGGAGAGAGAGAGAAACGACCUCGGACGGAGAGAGAACGGCGGAGGGGCUGCGGCCGGGGCUGCCCGCAGUGCGCUGCCGUCGGGGCCCGACCGGUGGGUCCGUACGGAGCGCUACGGCCGGGGGGGGCUGCAGGAGCGAAUGGAGAGCGGCAGAAACGCGGAGGGCUCCGUUCUCGUUAGUCCGACUCGUAGAAAUGUAACCAAAAGGGGUACAUCAACUCAGCGCGAAAACACACACGCCGAUUUCGGUAGCUCGGGAUAACUCGAGAGGAAUUGGAAGAGUCUGUCAGGAAAACAACAGCAACAACAACAAUAAUAACAGCAAUAACAAUUGCCGGAGGUGGGGGAUAAAAAAAAAAAAGAGAGAGAGAGUGGAAAAGUUCCGAGCCGCAAAGUUUGCGCCGAUCGUAGGGACGCAAAAUGCGCGCAGAGGGCCGUUCGCCUCCCCCAGCACUGUGCGAGGGACGCUGCAGCGCUGAGCUCUGUAAUAAUGAUUAAUAAGUCAAAAGGGCAUAUUUUGCUUUUACGGUAUGCAGCGCUCCAGGGAAUAUUCUGCGUACGGCUUUAAAACGAAGUAGGGAUAUUUACACACAUGCACGGAGUUAGCAACAGCACCAAAGGCAGAAAAAACCCCUCGAAUAUUUCAGCGAACUAUUACAUUUUUUCAAUUAUUUCCCAAUGAGCAUUUCAAUGAACUGUUACAUUUUCCCAAUUCGCGGGGAAGAUUUAUGGGAUUAUUAAGAUUUCUAGUGGAAAUAUUAUCCAGUGGAAGUUUAUCGUCUCUCGGGGGCUGUACACCAUUUGAUAUCAAUUUCCAGAUGUUAUGAUCUUUUUUCAGAAAAUAAUUGAGCACAUUACCUCCCUUCCUACAGAAGACCCUUUCGGUGUUUAUUUAUUUAUUCUGUCGGGGGCACGGCUGUCUCUUCUCCCCCAGAACGAAAUUUCUCGAAACGCUCGAGCAAACUUAAAUCAGAAACUGCUCGAUCCUCGGGGGGAGGAAUAAUUCAUUUGCGGGGUCGUUACGGGCAGAAGCCCGUGGGUUUGCCUCCUCUUCCACGCCACGCUUCGCGCGGAGGACGCAGCCCACGACGGCCGCCGGAGCGUUCCGG